GGAAUAUUGGGCAAUGGAGGCAACUCUGACCCAGCCAUGCCGCGUGCAGGAAGACGGCCCUAUGGGUUGUAAACUGCUUUUAUACAGGAAGAAACUUAUCCACGUGUGGAUAACUGACGGUACUGUAAGAAUAAGGACCGGCUAACUCCGUGCCAGCAGCCGCGGUAAUACGGAGGGUCCAAGCGUUAUCCGGAAUCAUUGGGUUUAAAGGGUCCGUAGGCGGGCAAUUAAGUCAGAGGUGAAAUCCCACAGCUCAACUGUGGAACUGCCUUUGAUACUGGUUGUCUUGAGUUACAGUGAAGUAGAUAGAAUAUGUAGUGUAGCGGUGAAAUGCAUAGAUAUUACAUAGAAUACCGAUUGCSAAGGCAGUCUACUAACUGUKUACUGACSCUAAUGGACGAAAGCGUGGGGAGCGAACAGGAUUAGAUACCCUGGUAGUCCACGCCGUAAACGAUGGUCACUAGUUGUUGGGGUCUUGUACCUCAGUGAUUAA
Molecule: ribosomal RNA, 493 nt
Filed under: uncultured Bacteroidota bacterium
Lineage: Bacteria; Pseudomonadati; Bacteroidota
Description: bacterial SSU rRNA
Rfam family: Bacterial small subunit ribosomal RNA
Source: RNAcentral